AAGACCUUGCACUUUUGGAGCGGCCGAUGUCUGAUUAGCUAGUUGGUGGGGUAAAGGCCUACCAAAGCUUCGAUCAGUAGCUGGUCUGAGAGGACGGCCAGCCACACUGGGACUGAGACACGGCCCAGACUCCUACGGGAGGCAGCAGUGGGGAAUUUUGGACAAUGGGCACAAGCCUGAUCCAGCCAUGCCGCGUGAGUGAAGAAGGCCUUCGGGUUGUAAAGCUCUUUCAGCCGGGAAGAAAAGGCUGCGACUAAUAAUCGCAGUUCAUGACGGCACCGGAAGAAGAAGCACCGGCUAACUACGUGCCAGCAGCCGCGGUAAUACGUAGGGCGCGAGCGUUAAUCGGAAUUACUGGGCGUAAAGGGUGCGCAGGCGGUUUUGUAAGUCAGAUGUGAAAUCCCCGGGCUUAACCUGGGAACU
RNAcentral lists this ribosomal RNA (423 nucleotides) under uncultured bacterium. RNAcentral's name for it is "bacterial SSU rRNA". It matches the Rfam family "Bacterial small subunit ribosomal RNA", at positions 207 to 622 of the family's 1533-position model. The record is from RNAcentral.